UAAAGAAUAUUCAUUUUCAGCCAUUUAUUUUUCUGUUCACUUGAUGGAUGAAAGAACAAUAUCGAAAGUGCGUGAAAUUUGAUUUCUAAAUAGUUUAAAUGGUUUAGAUCAUAUUUAACGGAGCCGAUUGUCAAUUUGGAAGCUCUAUCAUCGAAAACAAAUCGGUAGUAAAACGGCUCGUUUAGCUCUCGAGAGUAUUCUAUGCUCAACUCAAUAUAUAUAGUUGAGCUAAAUACUCUCAGAGAAACGAGCCCGUUUACUCAUCGGUUGUGUCGAAUAAGCUUCGGCAAUGACGAUCGUCGCUCCGUUAACAUGAUUUAUACCACCUAAGUUUAGAAAUCAAAUUUUUAAAAUCUUGCGCCAACAUAUGCCUAAGGAUCUAAAGGGUUUCAAAAUUUGUAAUUUAAUGGUGGAUAAGAACGUUCUCGUUUAACGGUGUAAAGAUAUCCAAAUCAAUUGAAUUUUUGUAGAAAAUCUUCAAAAACUAUUAAAACAAGAUCUAUACUCUUAUCUUGGUUUACAAACUCCUAUCAUCUCGUUUUUUAAACGAAAUUCUUAUUCAGCCAUGCUUCAUGUUUUUUGUUCGCACUAGAUGGAUAUAAAACAAUAUCGAAAGUGGCUGAAAUCUGAUUUCUAGUUAGUUAAAUGUUAGAUCAUAUUUUCACGAGCCGAUCGUCAAAUUGGAAACUCUACAUCGACAAACCAACUCGAGAGUAAACGGGCUCGUUUACUCUCGAGAGUAUCUAGCUCAACUCUAUAUAUAAAUUGAGCUAGAAUACUAUCGGUAGUAAACCAGUCAUUUUACCUAUUUGUUUUCGAUGAUAGAGCUUCCAAAUUGACGAUCGGCUCCGUUGAACAUGAUCUAUACCACUUGAAAUGUUUAGAAAUCAAAUUUCAAAUCUUUUCGACAUCAUUUGCCUAAUGAUUAAAGGGUUUCAAAAUUUGUAAUUUUAAUGGUCAAUUAGAGGCGUUUUCUCGUUUAACGGCGUAAAGAUAUCCAAAUCAAUUGAAUUUUUGUUAGAAAAUUUUUUAAACUAUUUAAAACAAGAUCUAUACUCUUGAUCUUGAUUAUAAGACUCCUAUCAUCAUUUUUUAAAGAAUAUUCAUUUUCAGCCAUUCAUUUUUCUGUUCACUUGAUGGAUAAAAGAACAAUAUCGAAAGUGCGUGAAAUUUGAUUUCUAGGUAGUUUAAAUGGUUUAGAUCAUAUUUCACGGAGGCGAUCGUUAAUUUGGAAGCUCUAUUAUUGAAAACAAAUAGGUAGUAAAACGGCUCGUUUACUACUGAUAGUAUUCUAGCUCAACUCUAUAUAU
This 1310-nucleotide long non-coding RNA is filed under the name Ananas comosus (pineapple). RNAcentral describes it as "long non-coding RNA (ACOM_LNC044547)". Lineage: Eukaryota; Viridiplantae; Streptophyta; Magnoliopsida; Poales; Bromeliaceae. The record is from RNAcentral.